ACCCUUGUGGAGGAGGACGCCGAAGGUGGGGCUAAUGACUGGGGUGAAGUCGUAACAAGGUAGCCGUACCGGAAGGUGCGGCUGGAUCACCUCCUAACAGGGAGACAACAAAAUGUUUAAUAUUAUUAUUUUGUCACCUUAGGUCGAUCGGUAUCUCACAUUCUUAAUUUCUUAAGAAUUUCAUUUCCUAAGUUUUUUUCUAGGUCACACCCAUUACUUUUCCUGGGCCAUUAGCUCAGGUGGUUAGAGCGCACCCCUGAUAAGGGUGAGGUCCCUGGUUCAAGUCCAGGAUGGCCCAUAUCUCUAUGUUGGGGGUAUAGCUCAGUUGGUAGAGCGCCUGCUUUGCAAGCAGGAUGUCAGCGGUUCGAGUCCGCUUACCUCCACUGGUUUCCACCUCUUUCAUAAUCUUAUUGAAAGGAAAAGUUUUGAAAUGUGAUCAAAUUCUGAACGAAUCUAGCUUCUUAAUCUAAUUAAAUUAUUAGGAUGCUGGACUCAUUGAAUUAAUUUCAUUGUUUUCAGAGAACCUUGACAACUGCAUAGAUUAUUUUUAAAGACAAUAAGCAUCUUUAAUGAUGCAGAUUUAUUAUUUGUGCGAAUGCAUCAAUAACAAUUCUAUUAAGCUGAUGCUUCAAAAUUUUGAAGUUAUUGGUCAAGCUACAAAGGGCUCACGGAGGAUACCUAGGCACACAGA
RNAcentral lists this unclassified non-coding RNA (691 nucleotides) under uncultured Prochlorococcus sp. RNAcentral describes it as "partial may contain 16S ribosomal RNA, 16S-23S ribosomal RNA intergenic spacer, and 23S ribosomal RNA". The stretch from base 1 to 97 matches the Rfam family "Bacterial small subunit ribosomal RNA", at positions 1437 to 1533 of the family's 1533-position model. The record is from RNAcentral. Lineage: Bacteria; Bacillati; Cyanobacteriota; Cyanophyceae; Synechococcales; Prochlorococcaceae.